Long non-coding RNA from Dipodomys ordii (Ord's kangaroo rat), 411 nucleotides. RefSeq lists it as uncharacterized. The record is from RefSeq and is a predicted model, not a curated record. The transcript is spliced from 3 exons. Lineage: Eukaryota; Metazoa; Chordata; Mammalia; Rodentia; Heteromyidae.
CUCAAGAACGAAAUGGCUUCCCGCUGGAGCUGUGACGGAGCGUCGCCAGCCGGCCAGCCCGCAGUCCAGGAAAGCGUCUCCGCGCUCUCUAUUGAUGCCUAGCGACAGGGAUGCCGCCCAUACACCCACAAGCCUUCCUUCGUCAUUCUCUCCACCAAGACGUGUCUGCCUAACACUGUACAGUGAGGUGAGCACAGAUGGAAGCCUCUGGAACCAUGAGCAAAAGUCAAGCAAGGUGCUUCUUCCUUGAAUUGGCAAGAAGCAGCUGGCCCCCUGGGAGAGCAGACGGCGGCUUCCACUGACACCCUCCAGGGCCUGGUGCUGCAGGCGUGGUGCUCGGGCUCCUCCUGGACUCCCCUGAAGACAGAAGAAAGGCAGCUGUCAGUGGAGAAGACCAGACCCCUCCCUCCA